GAGGGGGUGGGGUGAGGAGGAUGCCAUGGGCCGAGCAGGCUCAAGCUGGCAUUUGCUUCCUAUGGCUCUCUGGCACUGGACCCCAGAUGAUGAGGGCCUCCGGGAGCUGUCGCCGUACCCCCGAACCCCCCAAGGCCUGGCCCACAGUGGGUGUCCUAAAUCCAGGGCCUGGGCAGGAAAGGGGCGUUCUGCUAGGGCCAGGAGCCAGGAGCUCUGCAUUAGUCCUCGCCACACCUGCAGACUGGCUUCUUCUGUUAAUCCUGUGUUAGUGAAAGUGAAAGUGAAGUCGCUCAGUCGUGUCCGACCCUCAUCGACCCCAUGGACUGCAGCCUUCCAGGCUCCUCCGUCCAUGGGAUUUUCCAGGCAAGAGUACUGGAGUGAGGUGAGGCCCAGAAAGGUAAAGUGACUUGCCCAGAGUCACACAGCUAUUUCUCUGUCAAGGCCACUCCUGGAAGCUCUGCUGGGCUUGGAUGCUGCUGGAGACACACGCGGAUGACAGCUUGGGAAAAGGAGGGCUACGUCCUAGCUGCGGAGUGAGCCUCUGGGAGAGCGUGCUGUGGUGUCCACGGCAGGUGAGGAGCCAAGGCCCAGAGCCACAUCCAUGAUCCUAGUGGCAGACGUGCACGGCGCUCCCAGAGGGGCCUCAAUGCACUCCCCAGGUGGCGUUACCCCUCUGUCCCUCUCCUCUGACCGAAGCUGGGCACCUCACUUCCAGCCCUCGUCAGCUCUCCCUGAUCCCCAUUCUUCAGCGGGUCUAGACUUUGUUCCCAUGCCCAGAAUUCCACCUCCAGGCAUACAGGGGGCUGGUGGGACUCCAGAUGGUGGCCAGCCAUGGGACCAAAGAGGACACCCCCCCAGUGACAGGAGCAGAAGGGCUGGAGGCAGGAAACCCCUUACCGGAGAGAAUUCAGGAUGGAGCCAGAGAAAAGCAGAGGGGAUCUUCCUGGACCAGGGAUCAAACUCAUGUCCCUUGUAUUGCACGGUGGAUUCUUAACCAGUAGACCAACAGGGA
Molecule: long non-coding RNA, 1012 nt
Organism: Bos taurus (domestic cattle)
Lineage: Eukaryota; Metazoa; Chordata; Mammalia; Artiodactyla; Bovidae
Source: Ensembl